This 131-nucleotide ribosomal RNA is filed under the name uncultured archaeon. Its description in RNAcentral is "partial 16S ribosomal RNA". It matches the Rfam family "Archaeal small subunit ribosomal RNA", at positions 317 to 448 of the family's 1478-position model. The record is from RNAcentral.
GGAGUUUUACGGGGUGCAGCAGGCGCGAAACCUCCGCAAUGUGAGAAAUCGCGACGGGGGGAUCCCAAGUGCUAUUCUUAACGGGAUGGCUUUUCUUUAGUGUAAAGAGCUUUUGAAAAAGACGAGGACCA